Molecule: ribosomal RNA, 472 nt
Filed under: Enterobacter cloacae
Lineage: Bacteria; Pseudomonadati; Pseudomonadota; Gammaproteobacteria; Enterobacterales; Enterobacteriaceae
Description: bacterial SSU rRNA
Rfam family: Bacterial small subunit ribosomal RNA
Source: RNAcentral
AAAUUGAAGAGUUUGAUCAUGGCUCAGAUUGAACGCUGGCGGCAGGCCUAACACAUGCAAGUCGAGCGGUAACACAGGGAGCUUGCUCCUGGGUGACGAGCGGCGGACGGGUGAGUAAUGUCUGGGAAACUGCCUGAUGGAGGGGGAUAACUACUGGAAACGGUAGCUAAUACCGCAUAACGUCGCAAGACCAAAGAGGGGGACCUUCGGGCCUCUUGCCAUCAGAAGUGCCCAGAUGGGAUUAGCUAGUAGGUGGGGUAACGGCUCACCUAGGCGACGAUCCCUAGCUGGUCUGAGAGGAUGACCAGCCACACUGGAACUGAGACACGGUCCAGACUCCUACGGGAGGCAGCAGUGGGGAAUAUUGCACAAUGGGCGCAAGCCUGAUGCAGCCAUGCCGCGUGUAUGAAGAAGGCCUUCGGGUUGUAAAGUACUUUCAGCGGGGAGGAAGGCGAUAAGGUUAAUAACCUUG